GAUUGAGUUCCUGAAGAUGGGAGAAACAAGGGAGGAGGAGGAGGAUGUGUGUGUGGGAAAGAAAGGGAGAGGAAGAUAGAUGAGAGAAAAAUGCAGCCAGACACAAAGUUUAUCACUGCUGACUGACGAGAAUCUCUCAAAUGUCAGCGUGUUUGUUUUCAUGCUUGGACCAAAAGUGUGCGCAUGGAGCUUCGUGACCCCGGAGAGCAAGAAUCCAUUCAAUAAAUCAAUGAAACACAAACGAGACAGAAUCAGGCAACAUCCGAGAAAAGAAAAGCGAUGUACAUAAUGAGCAGGGAGAGGAGAGGAGAGGAGAGGAGAGGCUGGAGUUGUGGGAGGAAAGAUUGGAGAGAGGGGGGCUGCGAGAGGGGUUGACAGCCAAGUGGAGAGGAGACAGAUGGGCGCAAAGAGAAAACUCGAGACAUCCACCGCUGAUUGCAUCAACAGGUCUGAGCCCCUCCAGUGUGUUUUCAACUCGGGAACAAAGGUGUCUGCGACUGAAAGAUGAAAACCGCGACAACUGAUGAAGAUGGUAUAGAGUUCAGACGCACGUUUGUGUGGGCUGUCUAAUUGAGGAGAUUGUUUGAUUCCUCUCCCUCUGCGUUUCCCUCUCUGAAGACCUGUCAAAGUCGCAAUCAGCGCAAAACAACACAGCAUAGAGGGAUUGGAGGAGCAGGAGGGAAGAAGAGUGGAGAUGGAAAGACGCGUUUAGGAAGAAAAAGGAGGGAGUUUACGCCCACCGCCUAAAGAGAUGAGAAGACAGGCAGAGGAGGGGAGAAUGUGUGGAGGAAGCAGUGUGUGAGAGUGCCAGAGCUCAUCAGCUUGUCAAACAUCCGUUAUAGACCACAAACCCACACAGCCAUCGUGCUGCUGAGGCCUAUCACUUAACAGGUGGCCACAUUUACGCACAUCGACUUGAGCAGCGUCCACAAAGCGCAAGCAAGUCUUGGAUGAUUUCCAUGCAGUGCAGGGUGAUCCACAGUGAGUCACUCUCAUUGAUCAGAAAAUAAAACCGGUCUCCAUACUGAUGGUUCCUUCACCCCACUCCUGGGCUCCUAACUGUUUUAGCUCGGCGCUGGCACAAUCCGAGUUGCGCUCUCUCAGCCCUGCCCACGUUUGAACCCUUAUUAUUCCUCACUGUGCUCAUAGUUUUGUAAUUCUGACUGCUGACGCACUGCAUCUAAAUUCAUCAUCCACUCUCCCUCGGGGGUUACAUCAGGGCUUUUGUUUUUUUUGUGUGUGUGUUUUGUUUUGUUUUGUUUUGGGUUUUUUUUUUUACGUCAGGUACCCCCCAGAUAUAGAUACAGUUUAGUCCUCAGGACAUUUUCACAGGAGCCCCGUCGAAUGAGGUUAAUUUUCUUUGUUUCCAAUGUGAGUGGGAAAUGAAGCAUCAAGUGAUACCUCUAUUUAGUGUAGUCAAUCCUCAUCAAAGCCUUGAAUUGUACCAAUAAAACCCUCUCAAGCGG
This is a long non-coding RNA of Acanthopagrus latus (yellowfin seabream), 1466 nucleotides long. RefSeq lists it as uncharacterized. The transcript has 4 exons. Lineage: Eukaryota; Metazoa; Chordata; Actinopteri; Spariformes; Sparidae. The record is from RefSeq and is a predicted model, not a curated record.